GUCGAGCGGACAGAAGGGAGCUUGCUCCCGGAUGUUAGCGGCGGACGGGUGAGUAACACGUGGGUAACCUGCCUGUAAGACUGGGAUAACUCCGGGAAACCGGAGCUAAUACCGGAUAGUUCCUUGAACCGCAUGGUUCAAGGAUGAAAGACGGUUUCGGCUGUCACUUACAGAUGGACCCGCGGCGCAUUAGCUAGUUGGUGGGGUAAUGGCUCACCAAGGCGACGAUGCGUAGCCGACCUGAGAGGGUGAUCGGCCACACUGGGACUGAGACACGGCCCAGACUCCUACGGGAGGCAGCAGUAGGGAAUCUUCCGCAAUGGACGAAAGUCUGACGGAGCAACGCCGCGUGAGUGAUGAAGGUUUUCGGAUCGUAAAGCUCUGUUGUUAGGGAAGAACAAGUGCGAGAGUAACUGCUCGCACCUUGACGGUACCUAACCAGAAAGCCACGGCUAACUACGUGCCAGCAGCCGCGGUAAUACGUAGGUGGCAAGCGUUGUCCGGAAUUAUUGGGCGUAAAGGGCUCGCAGGCGGUUUCUUAAGUCUGAUGUGAAAGCCCCCGGCUCAACCGGGGAGGGUCAUUGGAAACUGGGAAACUUGAGUGCAGAAGAGGAGAGUGGAAUUCCACGUGUAGCGGUGAAAUGCGUAGAGAUGUGGAGGAACACCAGUGGCGAAGGCGACUCUCUGGUCUGUAACUGACGCUGAGGAGCGAAAGCGUGGGGAGCGAACAGGAUUAGAUACCCUGGUAGUCCACGCCGUAACGAUGAGUGCUAAGUGUUAGGGGGUUUCCG
RNAcentral lists this ribosomal RNA (791 nucleotides) under Bacillus safensis. RNAcentral's name for it is "bacterial SSU rRNA". It matches the Rfam family "Bacterial small subunit ribosomal RNA", at positions 61 to 836 of the family's 1533-position model. The record is from RNAcentral. Lineage: Bacteria; Bacillati; Bacillota; Bacilli; Caryophanales; Bacillaceae.